AAAAUGAAUAGCUAAUUUAAGUUUAUUUUUUACAUUAAUAAGAUACUGUAAAGUUUCAUUU
Molecule: transfer RNA, 61 nt
Filed under: Trioza erytreae
Lineage: Eukaryota; Metazoa; Arthropoda; Insecta; Hemiptera; Triozidae
Description: tRNA-Val
Source: RNAcentral